GAUGAACGCUGGCGGUGUGCCUAAUACAUGCAAGUCGAGCGAACAGACGAGGAGCUUACUCCUCUGACGUUAGCGGCGGACGGGUGAGUAACACGUGGAUAACCUACCUAUAAGACUGGGAUAACUUCGGGAAACCGGAGCUAAUACCGGAUAACAUGUUGAACCGCAUGGUUCAACAGUGAAAGACGGUCUUGCUGUCACUUAUAGAUGGAUCCGCGUCGCAUUAGCUAGUUGGUAAGGUAACGGCUUACCAAGGCAACGAUGCGUAGCCGACCUGAGAGGGUGGUCGGCCACACUUGAACUUGGACACGGUCCAGACUCCUGCGGGAGGCAGCAGUAGGGAAUCUUCCGCAAUAGGCGGAAGCCUGGCAGAACAACGCCGCGUGAGUGAAGGAGGUCUUGGGAUCGGAAAACUCUGUUAUUAGGGAAGAACAAAUUUGGAAGUAACUAUGCACGGCUUGACGGUACCUAAUCAAAAAGCCACGGCUAACUACGUG
This 497-nucleotide ribosomal RNA is filed under the name uncultured bacterium. Its description in RNAcentral is "partial 16S ribosomal RNA". It matches the Rfam family "Bacterial small subunit ribosomal RNA", at positions 28 to 507 of the family's 1533-position model. The record is from RNAcentral.